UACGAAGGGGGCUAGCGUUGUUCGGAUUUACUGGGCGUAAAGCGCACGUAGGCGGAUCGUUAAGUCGAGGGUGAAAUCCUGGAGCUCAACUCCAGAACUGCCUUCGAUACUGGCGAUCUCGAGUCCGGAAGAGGUGAGUGGAACUCCGAGUGUAGAGGUGAAAUUCGUAGAUAUUCGGAAGAACACCAGUGGCGAAGGCGGCUCACUGGCCCGGUACUGACGCUGAGGUGCGAAAGCGUGGGGAGCAAACAGG
This 253-nucleotide ribosomal RNA is filed under the name uncultured bacterium. RNAcentral's name for it is "partial 16S ribosomal RNA". It matches the Rfam family "Bacterial small subunit ribosomal RNA", at positions 524 to 776 of the family's 1533-position model. The record is from RNAcentral.